GAUGAACGCUGGCGGCGUGCUUAACACAUGCAAGUCGAACGAUGAAGCCCCAGCUUGCUGGGGUGGAUUAGUGGCGAACGGGUGAGUAACACGUGAGUAACCUGCCCUUGACUCUGGGAUAAGCCUUGGAAACGGGGUCUAAUACCGGAUAGGAGCAUUCACCGCAUGGUGGGUGUUGGAAAGAAUUUCGGUCUUGGAUGGACUCGCGGCCCAUCAGCUUGUUGGUGAGGUAAUGGCUCACCAAGGCGACGACGGGUAGCCGGCCUGAGAGGGUGACCGGCCACACUGGGACUGAGACACGGCCCAGACUCCUACGGGAGGCAGCAGUGGGGAAUAUUGCACAAUGGGCGCAAGCCUGAUGCAGCGACGCCGCGUGAGGGAUGACGGCCUUCGGGUUGUAAACCUCUUUCAGUAGGGAAGAAGCGAAAGUGACGGUACCUGCAGAAGAAGCACCGGCUAACUACGUGC
RNAcentral lists this ribosomal RNA (468 nucleotides) under uncultured microorganism. RNAcentral describes it as "bacterial SSU rRNA". It matches the Rfam family "Bacterial small subunit ribosomal RNA", at positions 28 to 508 of the family's 1533-position model. The record is from RNAcentral.